GACGAACGCUGGCGGCGUGCUUAACACAUGCAAGUCGAGCGGUAAGGCCUUUCGGGGUACACGAGCGGCGAACGGGUGAGUAACACGUGGGUGUUCUGCCCUGCACUUCGGGAUAAGCCUGGGAAACUGGGUCUAAUACCGGAUAUGACCUCCUAUCGCAUGGUGGGUGGUGGAAAGAUUUAUCGGUGCAGGAUGGGCCCGCGGCCUAUCAGCUUGUUGGUGGGGUAAUGGCCUACCAAGGCGACGACGGGUAGCCGACCUGAGAGGGUGACCGGCCACACUGGGACUGAGACACGGCCCAGACUCCUACGGGAGGCAGCAGUGGGGAAUAUUGCACAAUGGGCGAAAGCCUGAUGCAGCGACGCCGCGUGAGGGAUGACGGCCUUCGGGUUGUAAACCUCUUUCAGCAGGGACGAAGCGCAAGUGACGGUACCUGCAGAAGAAGCACCGGCUAACUACGUG
Molecule: ribosomal RNA, 462 nt
Filed under: uncultured bacterium
Lineage: Bacteria
Description: partial 16S ribosomal RNA
Rfam family: Bacterial small subunit ribosomal RNA
Source: RNAcentral